This 1168-nucleotide ribosomal RNA is filed under the name Salmonella enterica subsp. enterica serovar Newport. Its description in RNAcentral is "partial 23S ribosomal RNA". It matches the Rfam family "Bacterial large subunit ribosomal RNA", at positions 373 to 1547 of the family's 2925-position model. Lineage: Bacteria; Pseudomonadati; Pseudomonadota; Gammaproteobacteria; Enterobacterales; Enterobacteriaceae. The record is from RNAcentral.
CCGUACACAAAAGCGCAUGUGUUGUGAGCUCGAUGAGUAGGGCGGGACACGUGGUAUCCUGUCUGAAUAUGGGGGGACCAUCCUCCAAGGCUAAAUACUCCUGACUGACCGAUAGUGAACCAGUACCGUGAGGGAAAGGCGAAAAGAACCCCGGCGAGGGGAGUGAAAAAGAACCUGAAACCGUGUACGUACAAGCAGUGGGAGCACCCUUUUGGGUGUGACUGCGUACCUUUUGUAUAAUGGGUCAGCGACUUAUAUUCUGUAGCAAGGUUAACCGAAUAGGGGAGCCGGAGGGAAACCGAGUCUUAAUUGGGCGUUAAGUUGCAGGGUAUAGACCCGAAACCCGGUGAUCUAGCCAUGGGCAGGUUGAAGGUUGGGUAACACUAACUGGAGGACCGAACCGACUAAUGUUGAAAAAUUAGCGGAUGACCUGUGGCUGGGGGUGAAAGGCCAAUCAAACCGGGAGAUAGCUGGUUCUCCCCGAAAGCUAUUUAGGUAGCGCCUCGUGAAUUCAUCUCCGGGGGUAGAGCACUGUUUCGGCUAGGGGGCCAUCCCGGCUUACCAACCCGAUGCAAACUGCGAAUACCGGAGAAUGUUAUCACGGGAGACACACGGCGGGUGCUAACGUCCGUCGUGAAGAGGGAAACAACCCAGACCGCCAGCUAAGGUCCCAAAGUCAUGGUUAAGUGGGAAACGAUGUGGGAAGGCCCAGACAGCCAGGAUGUUGGCUUAGAAGCAGCCAUCAUUUAAAGAAAGCGUAAUAGCUCACUGGUCGAGUCGGCCUGCGCGGAAGAUGUAACGGGGCUAAACCAUGCACCGAAGCUGCGGCAGCGACACUCAGGUGUUGUUGGGUAGGGGAGCGUUCUGUAAGCCUGUGAAGGUGUGUCGUGAGGCAUGCUGGAGGUAUCAGAAGUGCGAAUGCUGACAUAAGUAACGAUAAAGCGGGUGAAAAGCCCGCUCGCCGGAAGACCAAGGGUUCCUGUCCAACGUUAAUCGGGGCAGGGUGAGUCGACCCCUAAGGCGAGGCCGAAAGGCGUAGUCGAUGGGAAACGGGUUAAUAUUCCCGUACUUGGUGUUACUGCGAAGGGGGGACGGAGAAGGCUAUGUUGGCCGGGCGACGGUUGUCCCGGUUUAAGCGUGUAGGUGUGUGUUCCAGGUAAAUCCGGUU